GCGACCCCAGUCAGGCGGACACCCG
RNAcentral lists this ribosomal RNA (25 nucleotides) under Cuscuta japonica (Japanese dodder). RNAcentral describes it as "partial 26S ribosomal RNA". Lineage: Eukaryota; Viridiplantae; Streptophyta; Magnoliopsida; Solanales; Convolvulaceae. The record is from RNAcentral.